AAUGGGUCAGCGACUUAUAUUCUGUAGCAAGGUUAACCGAAUAGGGGAGCCGAAGGGAAACCGAGUCUUAACUGGGCGUUAAGUUGCAGGGUAUAGACCCGAAACCCGGUGAUCUAGCCAUGGGCAGGUUGAAGGUUGGGUAACACUAACUGGAGGACCGAACCGACUAAUGUUGAAAAAUUAGCGGAUGACUUGUGGCUGGGGGUGAAAGGCCAAUCAAACCGGGAGAUAGCUGGUUCUCCCCGAAAGCUAUUUAGGUAGCGCCUCGUGAAUUCAUCUCCGGGGGUAGAGCACUGUUUCGGCAAGGGGGUCAUCCCGACUUACCAACCCGAUGCAAACUGCGAAUACCGGAGAAUGUUAUCACGGGAGACACACGGCGGGUGCUAACGUCCGUCGUGAAGAGGGAAACAACCCAGACCGCCAGCUAAGGUCCCAAAGUCAUGGUUAAGUGGGAAACGAUGUGGGAAGGCCCAGACAGCCAGGAUGUUGGCUUAGAAGCAGCCAUCAUUUAAAGAAAGCGUAAUAGCUCACUGGUCGAGUCGGCCUGCGCGGAAGAUGUAACGGGGCUAAACCAUGCACCGAAGCUGCGGCAGCGACACUAUGUGUUGUUGGGUAGGGGAGCGUUCUGUAAGCCUGUGAAGGUGUACUGUGAGGUAUGCUGGAGGUAUCAGAAGUGCGAAUGCUGACAUAAGUAACGAUAAAGCGGGUGAAAAACCCGCUCGCCGGAAGACCAAGGGUUCCUGUCCAACGUUAAUCGGGGCAGGGUGAGUCGACCCCUAAGGCGAGGCCGAAAGGCGUAGUCGAUGGGAAACAGGUUAAUAUUCCUGUACUUGGUGUUACUGCGAAG
Molecule: ribosomal RNA, 847 nt
Filed under: Escherichia coli
Lineage: Bacteria; Pseudomonadati; Pseudomonadota; Gammaproteobacteria; Enterobacterales; Enterobacteriaceae
Description: partial 23S ribosomal RNA
Rfam family: Bacterial large subunit ribosomal RNA
Source: RNAcentral